GCGUGGCGUUGGAGGCUAAAAGGAGUGGGUAUGUGUGUAGUAAGGGGGUAGGUUGGUAGUGCGUGGUUAGGGUGAUAAGGUGUACCUUGGUGGAGGUUGAACGACGUAGGUGUAGGGAGUGUGAAUGUCUAUGUGAGAGUGCGGAUGUGUGUGGUGGUGUGGCGACCAGGGGAGCCGUAGGGGGUAUGUGUGUGUGUAGUGGACGGUACGUAAGGCUAUGGGUGUGGGGUUUUUGACUUUUACUAGGAAGUCGACCAAGAGGUUGACUUUGGAACAAUGCUGAACAUGAAAUAGAUCGGUAUCUAUAAGUCU
RNAcentral lists this ribosomal RNA (312 nucleotides) under Enterocytozoon bieneusi. RNAcentral describes it as "bacterial LSU rRNA". The record is from RNAcentral. Lineage: Eukaryota; Fungi; Microsporidia; Enterocytozoonidae.